This 72-nucleotide transfer RNA is filed under the name Nonomuraea africana. RNAcentral describes it as "tRNA-OTHER". The record is from RNAcentral. Lineage: Bacteria; Bacillati; Actinomycetota; Actinomycetes; Streptosporangiales; Streptosporangiaceae.
GGGAGCCGUACAGCGCGGUCAAUGAUCGUGCUGAUAAGGAAGAGGUCCCAGGUUCAAGUCCUGGUAGCCCCA